AUUCCUUUUUCUCUCUCCGUAAACCUAACUUCAUCGCGAAACAACAAACUCCUCUCCGACUCUCCACAUUUGGUCGCGAAACGGAUGCUGCUCCAUUUCAAUUGACUUCCAUUCCUAGUAACGUUUCUGAGUUUUUUCAAUUAUGUAUCACUCUUUAUCGAUCACACUCUUUGUUGAUCGCUAGCUGUGUUGCUGCUGUUGCUGCUGUUACUGCUGUUGCGGCUUGAAAUUCGAUGGAUGUGUUGCUAUUGUGGUCUAUGCAUUUAUAUCAUCACUACUUCUCCUGGGGCAGAGCUACACAAGGGGCCAGGUAAAUUUUUUUGUUUAUAAGGAUGUUGAAUCUUCUUGGUAGGUUUAGUCUUGCUUGAGGGAGUUCAUGAGGAGCGAAGUUAUGUGCAUCAUUAAGGAUGAUUUUUACAGACACGCUCAGAUCCUAUGGGACGGAUUUUGAGUCGAUUAGAGGCUUUUGGCGAGUUUAAGAUGGUAUAUUUGGGGAUAAAGUUAUUCUGGGGAUCCAAUUGAAAGGCCCUUUCUUGUGAAUGAGUUGAAACAACAACACCUUCUUCAUGAUCGAAGUAAAGUGUAUAAGGUAUAUGCUUUUAAUCUAUAUUAUUUUAUUACAAUAAUGUGAUUAGGGUAAAUGUCAUUUACUCAACUUUAAUCGCAUGAUUCACUAUACUGAAGUGGGAAUCUAAUAUUUACUGGUUUUCUAACAUUUUCUGCACUUAUAUUCAUCAAUUGAUUUAGUUACUGACCUAGAUUCUCUACAUCCACACCUCGAUGGAUUUACUAUGUUCUCUUAUUACACAAAACUAUAAUUUGAUUACAAUGUUGCAUAGAUGUUCAUGUUAUUUAAUUUUAUUGUGGAUAUACUUGGAGAGGGAGAGAUGCAAUGUAUGAUUAAGGAUCUGGAUACAGAGCUUCGAAAGCUAAAUUGCAGAAUGACGGGUGGAUUCAUAAAGUUGGUGCUUACCGAGCAGAAAAAUCCUUCUCUUUGUAAAUUUGCAUCAUUUUUAUCCUACUGUUUACUUCUCCUUUGUAUUCUCUUCUCCGGUAAGGCAUGCCCAAGGUUCCAUAAUGUAGCAGGAGGAAAAGAACAUAGUGUAUACAUGCCAAAAGAGUUUUUUAUGCAAAGUUCACACAUCUUGGCUCAGCAGGUACUAAAUUUAGUCAAUAAUUCAUGCCAGAUUAUCUCAUGUAAAUAUAUACCCAAAUUUACAAAACAUAUAUAUUCCCAGCAAGGUUAUUUUGAAAUAACCAGUUGGUUAUUCAAAUAACCCAAGAUCGAACAAGCCUUUGCAGAUCCACGCUAGGGUGAUUUUCAAGUUUAUCAUGCGUUCCAUAUUAUAACAGAAUUACAAUAAAAUUGAUUAGCUAUGUUGUGCUGCAUUUCAGUCUGUUUUCUUAUCUGAAUCGAUAAGCUAGCCAACAAGUAGUCAAUCGGCAGAGAAAAGUUUCAAAUAUGUCAUCCUAGCCAGUAACGCUAGUGGUUAUGUUGCUAGAGAGUUCUACACACAGGGUGUAGAACAGGCGAGUUUGCAAUUAUUUCUGAAGAAGCGAAAAAUCUAACAUACAACUUCCAUUGGAACAUGAAAGACUAGGUUUACUGGGAUUGGUGUUGGAGCUACUUAUGCAGGCAACAUACCAUUCAGCUGCAAUGCAAAAUCUAAUUGUCAUCUAAUUGUCUGGUGGUCAAAUAUCAAUUCCAAUUGUGUUAAGAGAUGCUGUGGAGUUGGUGAAAAAAAAAAUGGGAUGUACAAAAUUGUUUUUUAAACUAUUAGAACAUUUGUAAUAUGUUAGUUAAUGUUUUUUAUUUAACUAUUAAUAUGAUUUUAUGAGAUAAUAUUGUUGAGAUUAUUUA
This is an RNA transcript of Impatiens glandulifera, 1861 nucleotides long. RefSeq lists it as uncharacterized. The record is from RefSeq and is a predicted model, not a curated record. Lineage: Eukaryota; Viridiplantae; Streptophyta; Magnoliopsida; Ericales; Balsaminaceae. The transcript is spliced from 9 exons.